RNAcentral lists this ribosomal RNA (253 nucleotides) under uncultured bacterium. RNAcentral describes it as "partial 16S ribosomal RNA". It matches the Rfam family "Bacterial small subunit ribosomal RNA", at positions 524 to 776 of the family's 1533-position model. The record is from RNAcentral.
UACGUAGGGGGCAAGCGUUGUCCGGAUUUAUUGGGCGUAAAGAGCGUGUAGGCGGCCAGACAGGUCAGCUGUGAAAACUCGAGGCUCAACCUCGAGACGUCGGUUGAAACCGUCUGGCUAGAGUCCGGAAGAGGAGAGUGGAAUUCCCGGUGUAGCGGUGAAAUGCGUAGAUAUCUGGAGGAACACCGGUGGCGAAGGCGGCAUCCUGGACCAACACUGACACUGAAAAGCGAAAGCCAGGGGAGCAAACGGG